UCCCCGUUGCCGGGGCAGUCUAUUCAGAAAAAUCCAACUGAAUACAAGGAUUGCGCUCGUUGAUGGACUUAACCAAACAUCUCACGACACGAGCUGACGACGGCCAUGCAACACCUGUCACUUGGCUCAAUAAAGCACUCUCUCCUUUCGGAGAAAUUCCAAGGAUGUCAAACCCUGGUAAGGUUCUUCGUUUACCAUCGAAUUAAAGAACACGCUCCACCGCUUGUGCGGGUCCCCGUCAAUUCCUUUAUGUUUUAGUCUUGCGACCGUACUCCACAGGCGGGAUGCUUAACGCGUUAGCUUCGCUACUAACCGGGUCGAUACGGUUAACAGCUAGCAUCCAUCGUUUACGGCGUGGACUAC
Molecule: unclassified non-coding RNA, 363 nt
Filed under: uncultured bacterium
Lineage: Bacteria
Description: contains 16S-23S intergenic spacer region
Source: RNAcentral